This 253-nucleotide ribosomal RNA is filed under the name uncultured bacterium. RNAcentral describes it as "partial 16S ribosomal RNA". It matches the Rfam family "Bacterial small subunit ribosomal RNA", at positions 524 to 776 of the family's 1533-position model. The record is from RNAcentral.
UACGUAGGGGGCAAGCGUUGUCCGGAUUUAUUGGGCGUAAAGCUCUCGCAGGUGGUUCGUCGCGUCGUGCGUGAAAGACCCCGGCUCAACUGGGGAGUGUCGUGCGAUACGGGCGAACUGGAGGCCAGUAGGGGGAUGCGGAAUUCCGGGUGUAGUGGUGGAAUGCGUAGAGAUCCGGAGGAACACCAGCGGCGAAGGCGGCAUCCUGGACUGGUCCUGACACUCAGGAGCGAAAGCGUGGGGAGCGAUCCGG